Molecule: ribosomal RNA, 466 nt
Filed under: uncultured bacterium
Lineage: Bacteria
Description: bacterial SSU rRNA
Rfam family: Bacterial small subunit ribosomal RNA
Source: RNAcentral
CAAGCGGUGGAGCAUGUGGUUUAAUUCGAUGCAACGCGAAGAACCUUACCUACUCUUGACAUCCAGAGAAGAACGCAGAGAUGUGUUUGUGCCUUCGGGAGCUCUGAGACAGGUGCUGCAUGGCUGUCGUCAGCUCGUGUUGUGAAAUGUUGGGUUAAGUCCCGCAACGAGCGCAACCCUUAUCCUUUGUUGCCAGCACGUAAUGGUGGGAACUCAAGGGAGACUGCCGGUGAUAAACCGGAGGAAGGUGGGGAUGACGUCAAGUCAUCAUGGCCCUUACGAGUAGGGCUACACACGUGCUACAAUGGCGUAUACAAAGAGAAGCGACCUCGCGAGAGCAAGCGGACCUCACAAAGUACGUCUAAGUUCGGAUUGGAGUCUGCAACUCGACUCCAUGAAGUCGGAAUCGCUAGUAAUCGUGGAUCAGAAUGCCACGGUGAAUACGUUCCCGGGCCUUGUACACACC